Molecule: ribosomal RNA, 253 nt
Filed under: uncultured bacterium
Lineage: Bacteria
Description: partial 16S ribosomal RNA
Rfam family: Bacterial small subunit ribosomal RNA
Source: RNAcentral
UACGUAGGGUGCGAGCGUUAAUCGGAAUUACUGGGCGUAAAGCGUGCGCAGGCGGUUCGUUAUGUCCGAUGUGAAAGCCCCGAGCUCAACUUGGGAAUGGCAUUGGAAACUGGCGGGCUGGAGUGUGGCAGAGGGGGGUGGAAUUCCACGUGUAGCAGUGAAAUGCGUAGAGAUGUGGAGGAACAUUAGUUGCGAAGGCGGCUCUCUGGACCAGCACUGACACUGAGGCACGAAAGCGUGGGGAGCAAACAGG